RNAcentral lists this signal recognition particle RNA (98 nucleotides) under Rhodospirillaceae bacterium. RNAcentral's name for it is "signal recognition particle sRNA small type". It matches the Rfam family "Bacterial small signal recognition particle RNA". Rfam says of the family: The signal recognition particle (SRP) is a universally conserved ribonucleoprotein involved in the co-translational targeting of proteins to membranes. Archaeal SRP consists of a 7S RNA and homologues of the eukaryotic SRP19 and SRP54 proteins. RNAcentral also lists the same sequence under 1 other name. The record is from RNAcentral. Lineage: Bacteria; Pseudomonadati; Pseudomonadota; Alphaproteobacteria; Rhodospirillales; Rhodospirillaceae.
UAUAGCUGGCGGUGGGCAGAUAUUUUCGCCAAUCCGGUCAGAUCUGAAAGGAAGCAGCCGUAACGAUAUAUAUCUGGGUCACCGUCAGUGCUAUUGCU